GGGCUGCAGUAUUUUGACUGUACAAAGGUAGCAUAAUCAAUAGUCUCUUAAUUGGUGACUUGUAUGAAAGAUUGGAUGAAAUAUAAACUGUCUCUAGUUAAUUUAUAGAAAUUAAUUUUUUAGUAAAAAAGCUAAAAUAAUUUUAAAAGACGAGAAGACCCUAUAGAGUUUAAUAAUUUAUUUAAUUAUUGUUAAUAUAUAAUUUUUAAAAUUAUAAUAAAAUAAAUUAUUUUGUUGGGGUGAUAGAAAAAUUAAAUUAACUUUUUUUAUUUAUUAACAUUGAUUUAUGAUUAAAUGAUCCAUUUAUAAUGAUUAAAAGAAAAAAUUACCUUAGGGAUAACAGCGUAAUUUUUUUUUUUAGUUCAAAUAGGAAAAAAAGUUUGCGACCUCGAUGUUGGA
RNAcentral lists this ribosomal RNA (399 nucleotides) under Papilio polytes nicanor. Its description in RNAcentral is "partial 16S ribosomal RNA". The record is from RNAcentral. Lineage: Eukaryota; Metazoa; Arthropoda; Insecta; Lepidoptera; Papilionidae.